This 245-nucleotide ribosomal RNA is filed under the name uncultured bacterium. Its description in RNAcentral is "partial 16S ribosomal RNA". It matches the Rfam family "Bacterial small subunit ribosomal RNA", at positions 524 to 768 of the family's 1533-position model. The record is from RNAcentral.
UACGUAGGCAGCGAGCGUUGUUCGGAGUUACUGGGCGUAAAGGGUGUGUAGGCGGUUGUUUAAGUUUGGUGUGAAAUCUCCCGGCUCAACUGGGAGGGUGCGCCGAAUACUGAGCGACUAGAGUGCGGGAGAGGAAAGUGGAAUUCCUGGUGUAGCGGUGAAAUGCGUAGGUAUCAGGAGGAACACCUGUAGUGUAGACAGCUUUCUGGACCAUUGCUGACGCUGAGACACGAAAGCGUGGGUAG